GACCGUUGUAUCCGUGGGUCCCUGUUC
This 27-nucleotide non-coding RNA is filed under the name Homo sapiens (human). The record is from RNAcentral. Lineage: Eukaryota; Metazoa; Chordata; Mammalia; Primates; Hominidae.